GAUGAAGAACGUAGCGAAAUGCGAUAAGUAGUGUGAAUUGCAGAAUUCAGUGAAUCAUCGAAUCUUUGAACGCACAUUGCGCCCCUUGGUAUUCCAUGGGGCAUGCCUGUUCGAGCGUCAUUUGUACCUUCAAGCUCUGCUUGGUGUUGGGUGUUUGUCUCGCCUCUGCGUGUAGACUCGCCUCAAAACAAUUGGCAGCCGGCGUAUUGAUUUCGGAGCGCAGUACAUCUCGCGCUUUGCACUCAUAACGACGACGUCCAAAAGUACAUUUUUACACUUUUGACCUCGGAUCAGGUAGGGAUACCCGCUGAACUUAAGCAUAUCAAUAAGCGGAGGA
RNAcentral lists this unclassified non-coding RNA (337 nucleotides) under soil metagenome. Its description in RNAcentral is "partial contains 5.8S ribosomal RNA, internal transcribed spacer 2, and large subunit ribosomal RNA". The stretch from base 1 to 120 matches the Rfam family "5.8S ribosomal RNA", at positions 35 to 154 of the family's 154-position model. The record is from RNAcentral.